CAAAGAGAAAACGCGUGAUUUUCUCUUAAAUGGGGGAUUGUCAGAGAGAAAACGCGUGAUUUUCGGUCUAAAUGGGGGAUUCUCGAAGAGAAAUCGCGUGAUUUUCGCUUAAAUGGGGGAUUCUUGAAGAGAAAACGUGUGAUUUUUGGGUUAAAUGGGGAAUUGUCGAAGAGAAAACGCGUGAUUUUUGCUUAAAUGGGGGAUUUGCGAAGAGAAAACGCGUGAUUUUUCGGUUAAAUGGGGGAUUCCCAAAGAGAAAACGCGUGAUUUUCGGCUUAAAUGGGGGAUUCUCGAAGAGAAAACGCGUGAUUUUCACUUAAGUGGGGGAUUCUCAAAGAAAAAACGCGUGAUUUUCUCUUAAAUGGGGGAUUCUCGAAGAGAAAACGCGUGAUUUUCACUAAAAUGGGGGAUUCUCGAAGAGAAAACGCGUGAUUUUCGGGUUUAAAUGGGGGAUUUGUGAAGAGAAAAUGCGUGAUUUUUGGGUUAAAUGGGGGAUUGUCGAAGAGAAAACGCGUGAUUUUUGCUUAUAUGGGGAAUUUCCGAAGAGAAAACGCGUGAUUUUUUGGUUAAAUGGGGGAUUGUCGAAGAGAAAACGCGUGAUUUUUGCUUAAAUGGGGAAUUUCCGAAGAGAAAACGCGUGAUUUUUGGGUCAAAUGGGGGAUUCUCGAAGAGCAAAUGCGUGAUUUUUUCGCUUAAAUGGGGGAUUGUCGAAGAGAAAACGCGUGAUUUUUGUGUUAAGUGGGGGAUUU
Molecule: long non-coding RNA, 749 nt
Filed under: Gallus gallus (chicken)
Lineage: Eukaryota; Metazoa; Chordata; Aves; Galliformes; Phasianidae
Description: lncRNA (ENSGALG00010001434.1)
Source: RNAcentral